GGGAGGGAGGGAGGGAGAGAGAGAGAGAGAGAGAGAGAGAGAGAGAGGCACGUAGGCAGGCAGGCAGGCAGGCAAGCAGAAACAAAAUCUCUCUCUCUCUCUCUCUCUCUCUCUCUCUCUCACACACACACA
This is a non-coding RNA of Podarcis lilfordi (Lilford's wall lizard), 132 nucleotides long. Lineage: Eukaryota; Metazoa; Chordata; Lepidosauria; Squamata; Lacertidae. The record is from the annotation of a GenBank genome assembly.